GUCUAUUUAUAUGGAAACCCAUGUUGUGCUGUUGUUGGCUCUUUAAAGGAGAACUGAGCAGGAGCCUCUCUGUUGUCCAGAAGAUUCAGACACUACAGUUUGUGCAAAGGCUCCCUAGAGUACUGAAAUAACGAUGCUCUUCCUUUCCUCAUCCCCAGGGAGGUCUGCACUGAUGGUAUUCACAGAAUAACUACAGCAUUUGUAGAUACUUGGUUUGAAAAUGAAAUAAUUACAGAGAAAUUGAGACUAAUUUUCAAACAAUGUCACAUCUCUGUCAAGUACAACUUAGAGCUCAGCAAGAUCCUGGCAGGCUUUCCAGAUUCUGGACAGAGGAGGGAAGGAAGGAAGGAAGGAAGGAAGGACAGCCCUGUGGAUAAGAAAAUGUAUUGGAAGUCAAGAUGCAGCCUCUUUUUCCAACUCUCUCUUGGGAUUUUGUUUUUAUGGAGGACUGGGCUAUCCUAUGCACCUCUUUGUGUGGUUUCACAAUCAGAAAGCUGAUGCAGCUGAAAACCAAGCUGUAUUUUCUACUGGAUGGAGCCCCUGAUCACCAACGCACAAAGACACCAGUGUCAGUACCAGGAGAGUGCAGGACCACCCUUUCUGAUCACAGCCCAUUAGGAAACCACGACCUUCAUGCAGAGCUUGAGCCUGCAGACUUGCAACAGCCACAUGCUUCUCCAUCGCAUGGAGCAAAGGUGUAUUUUGUGUGAGCAUUUAUGACCUAAACUGGGCUGAUUCAUCCAUGAGCCACUCCUGUGUGAAGCAGAGGUCAUACAGUGCUGGAUCCUGCCCUCCAGUCUCUACUCCUGUAUAAGAUAUAAAUAGUUAUUAAGCCUAAAAAUGUUUACAGUUUUUUCUAUACCUGAAAAGAAACUAGGUUAGGGAGUAGAAAAGCACUUUUCUAAAUCUAGCUUUCCCCUAAGGAGAGAGGAAGGUGAACUUUCUGUUCAUAGACAAUACAUGUAAAGGGUUUUCAUCAGUGGAUGUAUCUCAUCCUUGUGUUGCAUUGUUACUUGAUGAAAACAAUGUGCUGGUGAGAUCUCUUAAUGUUUGCCACAGGAUUAUGAUUUUAGGGGCGUGCUGAGAUAACUAGGAUAAGAUGGAGACAGAGGCCUUGCAAGGUUUGUACAGAGACAACCAAUAUGUUUAGAUUGCAAAUGUUGGGCACAGUGUUUCUUGUUGCAUUUUCACUUGAGAAUCUUUCCACAGUACAUGGCUAGGAUCCAGGGUGAAUAAACUGAAUUUUACAGUUUCUAGCA
Molecule: long non-coding RNA, 1259 nt
Filed under: Manacus vitellinus (golden-collared manakin)
Lineage: Eukaryota; Metazoa; Chordata; Aves; Passeriformes; Pipridae
Description: lncRNA (ENSMVIG00005015234.1)
Source: RNAcentral